RNAcentral lists this ribosomal RNA (692 nucleotides) under uncultured bacterium. RNAcentral describes it as "bacterial SSU rRNA". It matches the Rfam family "Bacterial small subunit ribosomal RNA", at positions 74 to 798 of the family's 1533-position model. The record is from RNAcentral.
GUGGAGCAAUCCAUGAGUACAGUGGCGACCGGGUGAGUAACACGUGACUAACCUACCUUCGAGUGGGGGAUAACCUCGGGAAACCGAGGCUAAUACCGCAUAACAUCGAGAGAUCAAAGGAGCAAUUCGCUUGAAGAGGGGGUCGCGGCUGAUUAGCUAGUUGGCGGGGUAAUGGCCCACCAAGGCGAAGAUCGGUAGCCGGCCUGAGAGGGCGCACGGCCACACUGGAACUGAAACACGGUCCAGACUCCUACGGGAGGCAGCAGUGGGGAAUUUUGCGCAAUGGGGGAAACCCUGACGCAGCAACGCCGCGUGGAGGAUGAAGCCCCUUGGGGUGUAAACUCCUUUCGACCAAGACGAUAAUGACGGUACUGGUGGAAGAAGCACCGGCUAACUCUGUGCCAGCAGCCGCGGUAAUACAGAGGGUGCGAGCGUUGUUCGGAAUUAUUGGGCGUAAAGGGCGCGUAGGCGGCGCAGCAAGUCACCUGUGAAAUCUCUGGGCUUAACUCAGAGCCUGCAGGCGAAACUGCUGUGCUGGAGUAUGGGAGAGGUGCGUGGAAUUCCCGGUGUAGCGGUGAAAUGCGUAGAUAUCGGAAGGAACACCUGUGGCGAAAGCGGCUCACUGGACCAUAACUGACGCUGAUGCACGAAAGCUAGGGGAAGCAACAGGAUUAGAUACCCUGGUAGUCCUA